UUGAGGAGCUUGGAGACAGAAUUUCUCUAUCAACAGAAUAAGUAAAGCUUGAGGGAACAGCAGUGCAAGGUUCUCCACACACUACUGACCAUCUGCCUCAACCCUGACCUGGAGAAAGAAGCUCAAGGAGAAAUGUUCAGUCUUCAUGACUGUUCAGUCUUCAUGACUGU
Molecule: small RNA, 170 nt
Filed under: Chrysemys picta bellii (western painted turtle)
Lineage: Eukaryota; Metazoa; Chordata; Testudines; Emydidae
Description: TUC338 (ENSCPBG00000027900.1)
Source: RNAcentral